CUUAGGGAGUUACAAGUUUGGUAGCUCAUGGAGUUGCCAUAGACAUAGAAUAUAUUGAUUUUUAAUCACAGCACACAACAAGAUGUACAUUUAUAUCCUUGUGAGUAAGUGAAUAUGGUUGAGAGAAGAGGUUAGGUUGACAAAGCAACUACUAAAAAAUUGUCUUUUUCCCUCUGUCUUAUGGGUAACUUGGAUGAAAACAUAGAAGAUGAGCUUAUAAUAUAUGAUGAUUAAUAAAGUAGGGAGAGAGAGUCAGUUGGAUAGAAGAGUUUCUAUUUCAAAAUCCCAGGUUGCCACAGUGGCUCACACCUGUAAUCUCAGCAUUUUAGGAGGCCGAGGCGGGCAGAUCACUUGAGGGGAAAAAAUCUAAAUAAAAAUUUUAACAAUCAUAUAAAUAUAAAGCCAAGAUCUUAAUCUGGAAUGGGAAGGUUAAGACCAUUCAUUAAUUCAACAAAUAUUUACUGAGCAGCCCUGAGACUGUUUUCCUUGGGGUCUGGGAAGGGGAGCCAUGGUCAAUGGACUCUUGUUAUCUGUAGGAAUAUUGAUCCCUACCACAAGGUAGAGGGACAGGGAAUAAAGGGGAGAUAGUCCUCCUAUGAGAUAAAGGUAGGGGAUGUUCUACAGGGCCCAGUUUUAUAUUUUUCUUUUCUGCCUUGUUAUUUCUUCUCAUGAUUUUCUUUCAGUAAAAUCUCUUUCCCACAUCUCUUUCAGUAAAAUUUUGUUAAAUGAUAGUCUUGUUCUCUGUUUUGGGGAAUUAC
This is a long non-coding RNA of Homo sapiens (human), 758 nucleotides long. The record is from Ensembl. NCBI's taxonomy places the organism in Eukaryota, Metazoa, Chordata, Mammalia, Primates, Hominidae.